Molecule: small RNA, 600 nt
Filed under: Pan troglodytes (chimpanzee)
Lineage: Eukaryota; Metazoa; Chordata; Mammalia; Primates; Hominidae
Description: retained intron
Source: RNAcentral
GAAGUAUUGGCGGAAAGGAAAAUACAGCGGAAAAAUGCAGAGCUGGAGUCGUGUGUACUGCUCCUUGGCCAAGAGAGGCCAUUUCAAUCGAAUAUCUCAUGGCCUACAGGGACUUUCUGCAGUGCCUCUGAGAACUUACGCAGAUCAGCCGAUUGAUGCUGAUGUAACAGUUAUAGGUUCUGGUCCUGGAGGAUAUGUUGCUGCUAUUAAAGCUGCCCAGUUAGGCUUCAAGACCGUCUGCAUUGAGAAAAAUGAAACACUUGGUGGAACGUGCUUGAAUGUUGGUUGUAUUCCUUCUAAGGCUUUAUUGAACAACUCUCAUUAUUACCAUAUGGCCCAUGGAAAAGAUUUUGCAUCUAGAGGAAUUGAAAGUAAGUAUACUUUUCAUGCUUAAUGAUAUUACCAGACUGCUUGACUAGGCUCUUCUGUCUAAAGACUUAAAUGUGUCUAAUGUAUGUAUAAUAGAUGUUUAGUGAAGGAAGAGUAAAAUAAAUAAUCUAAAAAAUGUGGAGAGAUUUACUUAAAAAAGAAGGCCUAAAUCCAGAUUUCUCCCAGCCAAGUAUAACCAAGCCUAGCCCUGCAAAUCCAGAUUUCUACCAU